GUGUUCCUACGGGGCGCAGCAGUGAGGAAUAUUGGUCAAUGGUCGGGAGACUGAACCAGCCACGCCGCGUGAGAGAUGAAGGUACAGAGUAUCGUAAACCUCUUUUGUCAGGGAACAAAGGCGGGGACGUGUCCCCGGAUGAGUGUACCUGAAGAAAAAGCAUCGGCUAACUCCGUGCCAGCAGCCGCGGUAAUACGGAGGAUGCGAGCGUUAUCCGGAUUUAUUGGGUUUAAAGGGUGCGCAGGCGGUCUGUUAAGUCAGCGGUCAAAGCCCGGGGGUCAACCCUGGCCCGCCGUUGAAACUGG
RNAcentral lists this ribosomal RNA (305 nucleotides) under uncultured bacterium. Its description in RNAcentral is "bacterial SSU rRNA". It matches the Rfam family "Bacterial small subunit ribosomal RNA", at positions 333 to 636 of the family's 1533-position model. The record is from RNAcentral.